UACAGAGGUCUCAAGCGUUGUUCGGAUUCAUUGGGCGUAAAGGGUGCGUAGGCGGCGCGGCAAGUCGGGUGUGAAAUCUCGGAGCUUAACUCCGAAACUGCAUUCGAUACUGCCGUGCUUGAGGACUGGAGAGGAGACUGGAAUUUACGGUGUAGCGGUGAAAUGCGUAGAUAUCGUAAGGAAGACCAGUGGCGAAGGCGGGUCUCUGGACAGUUCCUGACGCUGAGGCACGAAAGCUAGGGGAGCAAACAGG
RNAcentral lists this ribosomal RNA (253 nucleotides) under uncultured bacterium. RNAcentral describes it as "partial 16S ribosomal RNA". It matches the Rfam family "Bacterial small subunit ribosomal RNA", at positions 524 to 776 of the family's 1533-position model. The record is from RNAcentral.